Molecule: ribosomal RNA, 451 nt
Filed under: uncultured bacterium
Lineage: Bacteria
Description: partial 16S ribosomal RNA
Rfam family: Bacterial small subunit ribosomal RNA
Source: RNAcentral
GUGGGGAAUAUUGGACAAUGGGGGGAACCCUGAUCCAGCCAUGCCGCGUGUGUGAAGAAGGCCUUUUGGUUGUAAAGCACUUUAAGCGAGGAGGAGGCUACCGAGAUUAAUACUCUUGGAUAGUGGACGUUACUCGUAGAAUAAGCACCGGCUAACUCUGUGCCAGCAGCCGCGGUAAUACAGAGGGUGCAAGCGUUAAUCGGAUUUACUGGGCGUAAAGCGCGCGUAGGUGGCCAAUUAAGUCAAAUGUGAAAUCCCCGAGCUUAACUUGGGAAUUGCAUUCGAUACUGGUUGGCUAGAGUAUGGGAGAGGAUGGUAGAAUUCCAGGUGUAGCGGUGAAAUGCGUAGAGAUCUGGAGGAAUACCGAUGGCGAAGGCAGCCAUCUGGCCUAAUACUGACACUGAGGUGCGAAAGCAUGGGGAGCAAACAGGAUUAGAAACCCCGGUAGUCC